AAAUGGGUCUUAGCGUUUAAAUUGUAAGACAAGGUAGUACGUAUUGAGCUUGGUUGAGAAGCACAUGCAACUAUAAAUACUUGUUGAGACAGACGAUUUUGUACGGAUAUGUUACUAGUCCACAAUUAUCAAAGAAUAAUUUGCAAAGUAACCAUCUUAGACAAUGUCAGUGUAAAAUUCUAUUCAAACUCAAUCUGUGAUAAGGUAAGUACUGUAGUUAUGAAGAUUGCUAAAUUAUUCUAACUUGAGCAAAUUAAUCUAGUCGAGAAGGAAACUAGUUAUUACCAAAUCGAUUCCAUUUUGUAUAAAUAUCAAACUUUCCA
This 323-nucleotide long non-coding RNA is filed under the name Brassica napus (rape). RNAcentral's name for it is "long non-coding RNA (BNAP_LNC004807)". Lineage: Eukaryota; Viridiplantae; Streptophyta; Magnoliopsida; Brassicales; Brassicaceae. The record is from RNAcentral.